UCUGAUUUGUAUUGCUUUGUGGAUCACCCGCCUCAGUGCAGCUUGUGGAAAGCCUCUGCUUUUAAAAUCAGAUGCUAUUUCAUUACAAUGGCCAGCUUGGGGGGUUGCUGUUGCGGUUAGCGAUUUACCCAUUUAGCACCAGAUCAUUUUCCACUGAGUCCUCACUACAGAAGGAGCAGGCAGCACCCGCAGCAGAUUCCAAACCCAGCUCAUUUGUGAACCUACGUACAUCACGGCCAGGGUGAAGGGAGAUAAUCCUGCAGAGAAGAGUCCUAACCAUACUGAACGUGUAGCGGGGAGAAAUUGAGACAGGCCCUCCCAGAGGACUUCUGGAGGAGAAGCUGUUGCAUUCAGAACUGUCACACAGAACAAGGAAAAAGAAAAACCCUCAUCCGAAACACAAUAAACCCGCUGUAUAAUGCUUAAAAAAUAGUUUGCUAAGAUUAGAGUUUCAAAACCUCUGCUUAGCAGGAGAGAAGCCUUUUGAUAUUUCUCUCACUUGAGAGAUCAAUUCUAGUUCAGCAGGGGGUCAGUCUGACCAGAAUGGUCUAAUUGUGACAGAACGUUGUUUUAAUUUCCAGUUUUCCCUUUGUCUGCUGAAAAGACAAUAAUCAUCCGAAGAAAGAGAGACAAAUAAAAUAAGGCCAUGCUCAAAAAAGAGGUCUGCCAAUUAAACAAUGCAUCACACAUUGGAGCAUUUGAACUGUAGGAUGGAUUUAAGGAAAAAUCCUGUAUCCUGUGUAUUAGGCAGAAUCAGAAAAUGCUUGAGUGGAUGGACAAGUGUUUUCAUUAGUGAGGUGAGCUGGUUAAUGAUUUUGUAGCCCUUGUGGCUAAAUUGUGUCCCCAGGCUAAAAUCUAGGCUGAACGUGGACUGACUAGCUGGGCUGGAUGCUGGGAGAUGCAGUCAGGAAUCUUCCUCCACCCCUGGUCGUAGAAGCUGCUUUAGCCCAGUGACUGCAGUGGCCUAUGGAAUUGCACAUUUGGAAAUGGCCACAGAUCGGCCAGCAGUCAGUGCAGCUGCUUUGGUGCUGACUCUUUGGUAUAGGCCUGGGCAAACCAGGGUUUGGACCGAUUGUUAGUGACUUUAUCCCUGCAACACCCCGUGAAAUGGGGCGUUACUUCUAUGCCUAUAG
Molecule: long non-coding RNA, 1133 nt
Organism: Mauremys reevesii (Reeves's turtle)
Lineage: Eukaryota; Metazoa; Chordata; Testudines; Geoemydidae
Exons: 3
Source: RefSeq, a predicted model, not a curated record